AACGAACGCUGGCGGCGUGCUUAACACGUGCAAGUCGAACGUGAAAGGCUUCGGCCGAGUAAAGUGGCGCACGGGUGAGUAACGCGUGGGUAAUCUGCCCUUGGGCGGGGGAUAACCUCUCGAAAGGGGGGCUAAUACCGCAUGAGACCACGGCUUCUCGGGGCUGUGGGAAAAGGUGGGUCGCAAGGCCUGCCACCUGAGGAUGAGCCCGCGUACCAUUAGGUUGUUGGUGGGGUAAUGGCCUACCAAGCCGAAGAUGGUUAGCUGGUCUGAGAGGACGAUCAGCCACACUGGGACUGAGACACGGCCCAGACUCCUACGGGAGGCAGCAGUGGGGAAUAUUGCGCAAUGGGGGAAACCCUGACGCAGCAACGCCGCGUGUGUGAAGAAGGCCUUCGGGUCGUAAGCACUGUUGGAGGAACGAGCCGCUCGU
RNAcentral lists this ribosomal RNA (433 nucleotides) under uncultured bacterium. Its description in RNAcentral is "bacterial SSU rRNA". It matches the Rfam family "Bacterial small subunit ribosomal RNA", at positions 28 to 457 of the family's 1533-position model. The record is from RNAcentral.